AUUGAUUUUAUGCUUGCAUAAAUGAUUUUUGGAUUCGGAGCGAGUGGCGAACUGGUGAGUAACACGUGGGUAACCUGCCCCGAAGCGGGGGAUAACAUUUGGAAACAAGUGCUAAUACCGCAUAAUUAGUUGGAACCGCAUGGUUCCAACUUGAAAGAUGGCUCUGCUAUCACUUUGGGAUGGACCCGCGCCGUAUUAGUUAGUUGGUGAGAUAAAAGCCCACCAAGACGAUGAUACGUAGCCGACCUGAGAGGGUAAUCGGCCACAUUGGGACUGAGACACGGCCCAGACUCCUACGGGAGGCAGCAGUAGGGAAUCUUCCACAAUGGACGAAAGUCUGAUGGAGCAACGCCGCGUGAGUGAUGAAGGUUUUCGGAUCGUAAAACUCUGUUGUUAAAGAAGAACAAGUGUUAGAGUAACUGUUAACACUUUGACGGUAUUUAACCAGAAAGCCACGGCUAACUACGUGCCAGCAGCCGCGGUAAUACGUAGGUGGCAAGCGUUGUCCGGAUUUAUUGGGCGUAAAGCGAGCGCAGGCGGUUUUGUAAGUCUGCUGUGAAAGCCCUCAGCUCAACUGAGGAAGUGCAGUGGAAACUACAAAACUUGAGUACAGAAGAGGAAAGUGGAACUCCAUGUGUAGCGGUGAAAUGCGUAGAUAUAUGGAAGAACACCAGUGGCGAAGGCGGCUUUCUGGUCUGUUACUGACGCUGAGGCUCGAAAGCAUGGGUAGCGAACAGGAUUAGAUACCCUGGUAGUCCAUGCCGUAAACGAUGAAUACUAGGUGUUGGAGGGUUUCCGCCCUUCAGUGCCGCAGCUAACGCAUUAAGUAUUCCGCCUGGGGAGUACGACCGCAAGGUUGAAACUCAAAGGAAUUGACGGGGGCCCGCACAAGUGGUGGAGCAUGUGGUUUAAUUCGAUGCUACGCGAAGAACCUUACCAGCUCUUGACAUCUUCUGCCAACCCAAGAGAUUGGGCGUUCCCUUCGGGGACAGAAUGACAGGUGGCGCAUGGUUGUCGUCAGCUCGUGUCGUGAGAUGUUGGGUUAAGUCCCGCAACGAGCGCAACCCUUAUUAUUAGUUGCCAGCAUUUAGUUGGGCACUCUAGUGAGACUGCCGGUGAUAAA
Molecule: ribosomal RNA, 1123 nt
Filed under: uncultured bacterium
Lineage: Bacteria
Description: bacterial SSU rRNA
Rfam family: Bacterial small subunit ribosomal RNA
Source: RNAcentral